RNAcentral lists this ribosomal RNA (301 nucleotides) under uncultured bacterium. RNAcentral's name for it is "partial 16S ribosomal RNA". It matches the Rfam family "Bacterial small subunit ribosomal RNA", at positions 509 to 808 of the family's 1533-position model. The record is from RNAcentral.
CAGCCGCCGCGGUAAAACGUAGGUCCCGAGCGUUGUCCGGAUUUAUUGGGCGUAAAGCGAGCGCAGGCGGUUAGAUAAGUCUGAAGUUAAAGGCUGUGGCUUAACCAUAGUACGCUUUGGAAACUGUUUAACUUGAGUGCAAGAGGGGAGAGUGGAAUUCCAUGUGUAGCGGUGAAAUGCGUAGAUAUAUGGAGGAACACCGGUGGCGAAAGCGGCUCUCUGGCUUGUAACUGACGCUGAGGCUCGAAAGCGUGGGGAGCAAACAGGAUUAGAUACCCGAGUAGUCCCUGUCUCUUAUACC